Molecule: ribosomal RNA, 220 nt
Filed under: uncultured bacterium
Lineage: Bacteria
Description: partial 16S ribosomal RNA
Rfam family: Bacterial small subunit ribosomal RNA
Source: RNAcentral
GCAAGUCAAGGGGGCUCUUCGGAGCAACCGGCAGACGAGGUAGUAACACGUGGGUACGUCCCCCAAAGUCUGGCAUAGCCGGCCGAAAGGUCGGGUAAUUCCAGAUAGUCCCGCAAGGGUAAAGAUUUUUCGCUUUGGGAGCGGCCCGCGUCGUAUCAGCUUGUUGGUGAGGUAAAAGCUCACCAAGGCUAUGACGCGUAGGGGAGGUGAGAGCCUGACC